Non-coding RNA from Schistosoma haematobium, 45 nucleotides. Lineage: Eukaryota; Metazoa; Platyhelminthes; Trematoda; Strigeidida; Schistosomatidae. The record is from Rfam.
AUCCAGCUGAUAAGUCCAACAUGGGGCGAAACUCUCGUCCUGGAU